CCACCCCCCCCCCACCCCACCCUUUUCCUAUGUUCAUGUUUCAAACUUCAUAAAGUGGGGAUAUUGGAAUCUUGAAUAUCUAUGCAGUUUUCAAAGAUUCUUGAAAUCCCACCACACCAAUCUUGAAAAUCUUUGUUCUUUUCUUCAUAAGCUUUUGGCUUUUUUAAGUGGGUGUCCAAGCAUGUUUCUUGAAGUGGGUAUUCUAGCAAUAUACACAAUCUCUUUCUAGACAAGUUUCUUCAAGUGGGAAUUUCACCAAAUUACUCUUUGUCUAGGUAUGUGCUAAAUUUGAAGUUUCCUUGUAGCAAACAACCAUCUCUUCUCUUUUGUGCCAAAUUUUGAAAAGUCUUGAAGUGGGUAGUGAUCAAGACUAAAGCUUUGAAGUUUCUUGAAGUGGGUAGUGAUCAAGAUUUUAAAGUUUUGAAGUUUCUUGAAGUGGGUAGUGAUCAAGAUUUUAAAGAUUUGAAGUUUCUUGAAGUGGGUAGUGAUCAAGAUUCAAGAUUUGAAGUUUCUUUGAAGUGGGUAGUGAUCAAGGUUCAAGAUUCAUCAACAAAGAGCAAGAAAAAAAGCUUCUUUUAUUAUUAUUAUUGCUUCAAGAAAUGGGAGUUAUUGGGAGACUUGUGUGGAUGAACACAUGCUCAAAGAAACAAUGUAGAAGCUUGUUUUGGAGAAUGAGGGCAGCCAUGAAAAGGGCAGUCAAGAAACAAACAUUUCUUGUUGGAGGUCCAAAGAAACAAUUUAAUUUUCAUUAUGAUCCUUCAAGUUAUGCUCUCAACUUUGAUGAUGGCACAUAUCAUCAUCAUCAUCAUCAUGACAAUCAUCUUCAUCAUGUGGUGGAGCAUCAGAAAAUUACCAAACUACCCUUGCAAAAGCAACAAGAAUCACAUUCUACUACAUGGGUGGUCUAUGUUAUAUGGGUCGAAUCUUUUUAGUGUCUCUUUUUUGCUCUAGGUUCACAUUCUUCAAUGCCGGGUUAGGUUAUUAGAGUCGGAUCUUUCUACUAUUAUUCGGAUGUUCUAGCUUUAUUCGGAUCCUAAAAUGGGUUUAGGUUUUAGUAGGUUAAUGUAGGUUUUGAGUCUUGAGUCAUGACCCGACGGGUUGACCUAGUCAGGGGAAAGAACUAUUGCAUGGAUAUAAAAUGAAAUAUUUUAGUUCUUUAACUUA
Helianthus annuus (common sunflower) is the source of this 1164-nucleotide long non-coding RNA. RefSeq lists it as uncharacterized. Lineage: Eukaryota; Viridiplantae; Streptophyta; Magnoliopsida; Asterales; Asteraceae. The transcript is spliced from 2 exons. The record is from RefSeq and is a predicted model, not a curated record.